UACGUAGGGUGCAAGCGUUGUCCGGAAUUAUUGGGCGUAAAGAGCUCGUAGGUGGCCUGUCGCGUCGGCUGUGAAAACUCGAGGCUCAACCUCGAGACGUCGGUGGAAACCGUUUGGCUAGAGUCCGGAAGAGGAGAGUGGAAUUCCCGGUGUAGCGGUGAAAUGCGCAGAUAUCGGGAAGAACACCCGUGGCGAAGGCGGCUCUCUGGGACGGUACUGACGCUGAGACGCGAAAGCGUGGGGAGCGAACAGG
Molecule: ribosomal RNA, 253 nt
Filed under: uncultured bacterium
Lineage: Bacteria
Description: partial 16S ribosomal RNA
Rfam family: Bacterial small subunit ribosomal RNA
Source: RNAcentral